RNAcentral lists this ribosomal RNA (435 nucleotides) under uncultured bacterium. RNAcentral describes it as "partial 16S ribosomal RNA". It matches the Rfam family "Bacterial small subunit ribosomal RNA", at positions 29 to 507 of the family's 1533-position model. The record is from RNAcentral.
AACGAACGCUGGCGGCAGGCUUAACACAUGCAAGUCGAACGCGUGCAGCAAUGCACGAGUGGCGCACGGGUGAGUAACGAGUGGAUAUCUGCCUUUUGGUUCGGAAUAACCCCGGGAAACUGGGGCUAAUACCGGAUGGUUCCUACGGGAUAAAGAUUUAUCGCCAAAAGAUGAGUCCGCGUCCGAUUAGCUAGUUGGUGAGGUAAUGGCUCACCAAGGCGACGAUCGGUAGCUGGCCUGAGAGGACGAUCAGCCACACUGGGACUGAGACACGGCCCAGACUCCUACGGGAGGCAGCAGUGGGGAAUAUUGGACAAUGGGGGCAACCCUGAUCCAGCCAUGCCGCGUGAGUGAUGAAGGCCUUCGGGUUGUAAAGCUCUUUUGGCGGGGACGAUGAUGACGGUACCCGCAGAAUAAGCCCCGGCUAACUUCGUG